CAAUAGCGUAUAUUAAAGUUGUUGCAGUUAAAAAGCUCGUAGUUGGAUUUCUGGUGGGAGCGAUCGGUCUGGCGCUUAGCGCGAGUACUUGCAUCGUCUCCGGCCAUCCUUGGGGAGAGUCUGUCUGGCAUUAGGUUGUCGGGCAGAGGAUCCUCAUCGUUUACUGUGAAAAAAUUAGAGUGUUCAAAGCAGGCUUAUGCCGUUGAAUAUAUUAGCAUGGAAUAAUAAGAUAGGACUUUGGUACUAUUUUGAUGGUUUGCGCACCAAAGUAAUGAUUAAUAGGGACAGUUGGGGGUAUUCGUAUUCCGUUGUCAGAGGUGAAAUUCUUGGAUUUACGGAAGACGAACUACUGCGAAAGCAUUUACCAAGGAUGUUUUCAUUAA
This 383-nucleotide ribosomal RNA is filed under the name uncultured eukaryote. Its description in RNAcentral is "partial 18S ribosomal RNA". It matches the Rfam family "Eukaryotic small subunit ribosomal RNA", at positions 592 to 976 of the family's 1831-position model. The record is from RNAcentral.